RNAcentral lists this ribosomal RNA (253 nucleotides) under uncultured bacterium. Its description in RNAcentral is "partial 16S ribosomal RNA". It matches the Rfam family "Bacterial small subunit ribosomal RNA", at positions 15 to 263 of the family's 1533-position model. The record is from RNAcentral.
GAUCAUGGCUCAGGAUGAACGCUAGCGACAGGCUUAACACAUGCAAGUCGAGGGGCAGCACGGUGUAGCAAUACACUGGUGGCGACCGGCGCACGGGUGAGUAACACGUGUGCAACCAACCCCCGUACGGGAGAUAACCCGCGGAAACGUGGACUAACAUCCCAUAAGACUCUAGAGCCGCAUGGCUCUGGAUUUAAAAUUCCGGUGGUACGGGACGGGCACGCGCGACAUUAGGUAGUUGGCGGGGUAAGGG